RNAcentral lists this ribosomal RNA (433 nucleotides) under uncultured bacterium. RNAcentral's name for it is "partial 16S ribosomal RNA". It matches the Rfam family "Bacterial small subunit ribosomal RNA", at positions 29 to 507 of the family's 1533-position model. The record is from RNAcentral.
AACGAACGCUGGCGGCAGGCCUAACACAUGCAAGUCGAGCGAGGACUUCGGUUCUAGCGGCGGACGGGUGAGUAACGCGUGGGAAUGUGCCCUUCUCUACGGAAUAGCCCUGGGAAACUGGGAGUAAUACCGUAUACGCCCUAUUGGGGAAAGAUUUAUCGGAGAAGGAUCAGCCCGCGUUGGAUUAGGUAGUUGGUGGGGUAAUGGCCUACCAAGCCGACGAUCCAUAGCUGGUUUGAGAGGAUGAUCAGCCACACUGGGACUGAGACACGGCCCAGACUCCUACGGGAAGCAGCAGUGGGGAAUCUUAGACAAUGGGGGCAACCCUGAUCGAGCCAUGCCGCGUGAGUGAUGAAGGCCUUAGGGUUGUAAAGCUCUUUCAGCUGGGAAGAUAAUGACGGUACCAGCAGAAGAAGCCCCGGCUAACUCCGUG